GACGAACGCUGGCGGCGUGCUUAACACAUGCAAGUCGAACGGGCCCGCCCCUGUUUUUGGGGGUGGGUUGAGUGGCGAACGGGUGAGUAUCACGUGAGUAACCUGCCCCCUGCUCCUGGAUAACUGCUUGAAAGGGCGGCUAAUACGGGGUGUGCCGGCUGGUCCGCAUGGGCCUGGUCGGGAUAGUUUCAUCUUCGGGUGUUUCGGUGGGGGAUGGGCUCGCGGCCUAUCAGCUUGUUGGUGGGGUGAUGGCCCACCAAGGCGGUGACGGGUAGCCGGCCUGGGAGGGUGGGCGGCCACACUGGGACUGAGACACGGCCCAGACUCCUGCGGGAGGCAGCAGUGGGGGGUAUUGCACAAUGGGCGGAAGCCUGAUGCAGCGACGUCGCGUGAGGGAUGGAGGCCGUCGGGUGGUGAACCUCUUUCUCCGGUGGGGAAGGCCCUGUCCGGUGCGGCGGGGUUGACGGUAGCCGGGGAUGAAGCGCCGGCUAACUACGUG
RNAcentral lists this ribosomal RNA (499 nucleotides) under uncultured bacterium. RNAcentral describes it as "partial 16S ribosomal RNA". It matches the Rfam family "Bacterial small subunit ribosomal RNA", at positions 28 to 507 of the family's 1533-position model. The record is from RNAcentral.